GAGUUUGAUUCAUGGCUCAGGACGAACGCUGGCGGCGUGCUUAACACAUGCAAGUCGAACGGAAAGGCCCGCAUCAUUUUUUUGGUGGGGGUGCUCGAGUGGCGAACGGGUGAGUAACACGUGGGUGAUCUGCCCUGUACUUCGGGAUAAGCUUGGGAAACUGGGUCUAAUACCGGAUAGGACCAUGGUUUAGUGUCUCAUGGUGGAAAGAUUAUUGUUUUGGUGCAGGAUGAGCUCGCGGCCUAUCAGCUUGUUGGUGGGGUAAUGGCCUACCAAGGCGUCGACGGGUAGCCGGCCUGAGAGGGUGGACGGCCACAUUGGGACUGAGAUACGGCCCAGACUCCUACGGGAGGCAGCAGUGGGGAAUAUUGCACAAUGGGCGCAAGCCUGAUGCAGCGACGCCGCGUGGGGGAUGACGGCCUUCGGGUUGUAAACUCCUUUCGUUAGGGACGAAGCCGCACCUGUUUUGGGUGUGGUGACGGUACCUUUGUUAAGAAGCACCGGCUAACUACGUGCCAGCAGCCGCGGUAAUACGUAGGGUGCGAGCGUUGUCCGGAAUUACUGGGCGUAAAGAGCUCGUAGGUGGUUUGUUGCGUCGUCUGUGAAAUUCCGGGGCUUAACUUCGGGGUGGCAGGCGAUACGGGCAUAACUAGAGUGCUGUAGGGGAGACUGGAAUUCCUGGUGUAGCGGUGGAAUGCGCAGAUAUCAGGAGGAACACCGAUGGCGAAGGCAGGUCUCUGGGCAGUAACUGACGCUGAGGAGCGAAAGCAUGGGGAGCGAAACAGGAUUAGAUACCCUGGUAGUCCAUGCUGUAAACGGUGGGCGUUAGGUGUGGGGACCGGUUUGGUUUCUGUGCCGUAGCUAAACGCAUUAAGCGCCCCGCCUGGGGAGUACGGCCGCAAAGGCUAAAACUCAAAAGAAAUUGACGGGGGCCCGCACAAGCGGCGGAGCAUGUGGAUUAUUCGAUGCAAACGCGAAAGAACCUUACCUGGGUUUGACAUGCACCAGACGGUUGUAGAGAUACGUGACCUCCCUUUGUGGUUGGUGUGCAGGUGGUGCAUGGUUGUCGUCGAGCUCGUGUCGUGAGAUGUUGGGUUAAGUCCCGCGAACGAAGCGCAACCCUUGUUCUUAUGUUGCCGAGCGACUUUGGGUGGGGUACUCAUGAGAGACUGCCGGGGUUAGCUCGGAGGUAGGUGGGGAUGUACGUCGAAUUCUAUCGUGCCCUUUGAUGCCCGGGGCUUCGCGCGUGCUACGAAUGGUUAGUGACGAACGCGCGGCGAAACUCUG
This 1287-nucleotide ribosomal RNA is filed under the name uncultured bacterium. RNAcentral's name for it is "bacterial SSU rRNA". It matches the Rfam family "Bacterial small subunit ribosomal RNA", at positions 9 to 1259 of the family's 1533-position model. The record is from RNAcentral.